Molecule: ribosomal RNA, 486 nt
Filed under: uncultured bacterium
Lineage: Bacteria
Description: bacterial SSU rRNA
Rfam family: Bacterial small subunit ribosomal RNA
Source: RNAcentral
GACGAACGCUGGCGGCGUGCUUAACACAUGCAAGUCGAACGCGCUGCACUCCUUCGGGAGUACAGCGAGUGGCGAACGGGUGAGUAACACGUGAGCAACCUGCCCUUGACUCUGGAAUAACAGCUGGAAACAGCUGCUAAUACCGGAUACGACCUCCGAUGGCAUCAUCUGGAGGUGGAAAGCUCCGACGGUCAAGGAUGGGCUCGCGGCCUAUCAGCUUGUUGGUGAGGUAACGGCUCACCAAGGCUUCGACGGGUAGCCGGCCUGAGAGGGCGACCGGCCACACUGGGACUGAGAUACGGCCCAGACUCCUACGGGAGGCAGCAGUGGGGAAUAUUGCACAAUGGGCGCAAGCCUGAUGCAGCAACGCCGCGUGCGGGAUGACGGCCUUCGGGUUGUAAACCGCUUUCAGUAGGGACGAAGGUAACCUGACGGUACCUACAGAAGAAGGACCGGCCAACUACGUGCCAGCCGCCGCGGUAAAAC